CUGCUCCAUUUCUGAUGAUCCAUUUCUCAAGUCUGUGGAAAGUGGCAGCUCGGCCAGAUUAGGUUCUGGACCUUUUUGGAAAGCAUUAUGUAUAUCCUCCAGAGAUCUUGCCUCGACAACAGGUAACUUUGAAGUGGAAUCUUCAUGAUCCAGCUGAUCCUCAAUCAUGCUUGCAAGAACUACUUCCUCAACAUCUACACCUUCAUGAAGUUGCUUAAAAGCCAAAUCAAUAUCUUCAACCGAUCUUGCAUCCAGAACAGGCAGCUCCGCAUUGGUCUCCAUCUUCAAUUCUUCUAUUUCUUCAUAUUCUUUUUUUGGUUCACCAGCAGCAACAUUCUCAAGAUGUUCUUCAAAGCCAGAGACUGCUUGGCCAACUUCAAUCUCAUUAGAAGAAACCACAUCAUGCAGCUCUACUUCUGAUGAUCCAUGCCUCAAGUCUGCUGAAUGCGGCAGCUCAGCUGGAUUAGGUUCCGGUCCUUUUAUGAAAGCAUUAUGUAUAUCAUCCAGAGAUCUUGCCUCGACAACAGGAAAUUCUGAAGUGGUAUCUGUAUGAUCUGGCAGAUUCUCAAUCAUACUUGGAAGAAUUACUUCCUCAACAUCCACUCCUUCAUGAAGUUGCUUAAAAGCCAAAUCAAUAUCUUCAACCGAUCUUGCUUCAAGAACAGGUAGCUCCACAUUG
This 679-nucleotide long non-coding RNA is filed under the name Gossypium raimondii (Peruvian cotton). RNAcentral's name for it is "long non-coding RNA (GRAI_LNC010910)". Lineage: Eukaryota; Viridiplantae; Streptophyta; Magnoliopsida; Malvales; Malvaceae. The record is from RNAcentral.